This 837-nucleotide long non-coding RNA is filed under the name Triticum aestivum (bread wheat). RNAcentral's name for it is "long non-coding RNA (TAES_LNC021552)". Lineage: Eukaryota; Viridiplantae; Streptophyta; Magnoliopsida; Poales; Poaceae. The record is from RNAcentral.
CUAAAUAGAUGCGGCUAAUUCAAAGGAAGUAUUGUGUGGGCUCGGCAGAAUAUUCAAAGGAAGGAUUAUGGAAGGAUUGUGGUGAGGGUGGGCUCGGCACAAUAUUUAAAUGGACGGGAUCCUUAAUUAAUAUAAGGCAAGGGAAAACGGAAGGAAGAAAUUAUGUGAGGCUAAUAAGUAAAAGGAUUGGUAUAAUAAGGAAGGAUUUAAACGGGUGGAAUCAGGAUUGUGUGAGGCUAAAAAGGGAAGGUUGAUUUAUGGAGGAACGAAAAUGAGCACGGCAAAAAUAUAUAAGAUGUUGUAUUUUGUAUGCAUAUUAAUGAUUUUAUUUCUUUAUAAGAUUUUUACUCUUGCCGGUUUGAAAUAUCAAUUAAUAUACUAGGAGCAUUAAGUCCACAAAAUUAUAGGUUGGUGGGCAAGAGAGACUCGUGAAGCUUUGUGAUACAGUAUGAUGAUCAAAUCCAUAGUUGUGGGAUUAAUUAUGUUCCACAUGAAUAGAUGGGCAAGAGAGACUACCAUCGACAAUUAUGACGAAAAGAAGAAUUAGCGACAACAAUGGGUCUUUAGAAAUAUACAAUUUUUUCUACAGUUGCAACGAUAACCACCGGUUUCAUCGGCACAAACAACAGUUGGUCCUAUCAAUAUCAACAAGCCCAACCACAUGGUACGUGUGGUAAGCUACAUGAAAACAGAAAAAACAAAAAAUAUCAACAAGCCCAAUAAUAAAAGCAAAUCUCAUGCUACUGAGCCCCAAGUAUAUUCAUUAUCCUCUUCCAUAAAUAAUAUUAAUAUGUCAAUCAAUCGUGUGAUCUCAUUAUUUAUGUUUUCUAUUAAUAU